CCUACGGGAGGCAGCAGUGGGGAAUAUUGCACAAUGGGGGAAACCCUGAUGCAGCGACGCCGCGUGAGUGAAGAAGUAAUUCGGUAUGUAAAGCUCUAUCAGCAGGGAAGAAAAUGACGGUACCUGAGUAAGAAGCACCGGCUAACUACGUGCAAGCAGCGGCGGUAAUACGUAGGGGGCAAGCGUUAUCCGGAUUUACUGGGUGUAAAGGGAGCGUAGACGGCAGUGCAAGUCUGGAGUGAAAGGCGGGGGCUCAACCCCCGGACUGCUCUUGAAACUGUGCGGCUGGAGUGCAGAAGAGGUAAGUGGAAUUCCUAGUGUAGCGGUGAAAUGCGUAGAUAUUAGGAAGAACACCGGUUGCGAAGGCGGCUUACUGGACUGCAACUGACGUUGAGGCACGAAAGCGUGGGGAGCAAACAGGAUUAGAUACCCGAGUAGUC
RNAcentral lists this ribosomal RNA (440 nucleotides) under uncultured bacterium. Its description in RNAcentral is "partial 16S ribosomal RNA". It matches the Rfam family "Bacterial small subunit ribosomal RNA", at positions 338 to 795 of the family's 1533-position model. The record is from RNAcentral.